This 1062-nucleotide ribosomal RNA is filed under the name Escherichia coli. Its description in RNAcentral is "partial 23S ribosomal RNA". It matches the Rfam family "Bacterial large subunit ribosomal RNA", at positions 168 to 1269 of the family's 2925-position model. The record is from RNAcentral. Lineage: Bacteria; Pseudomonadati; Pseudomonadota; Gammaproteobacteria; Enterobacterales; Enterobacteriaceae.
AGGUUAAUGAGGCGAACCGGGGGAACUGAAACAUCUAAGUACCCCGAGGAAAAGAAAUCAACCGAGAUUCCCCCAGUAGCGGCGAGCGAACGGGGAGGAGCCCAGAGCCUGAAUCAGUGUGUGUGUUAGUGGAAGCGUCUGGAAAGGCGCGCGAUACAGGGUGACAGCCCCGUACACAAAAAUGCACAUACUGUGAGCUCGAUGAGUAGGGCGGGACACGUGGUAUCCUGUCUGAAUAUGGGGGGACCAUCCUCCAAGGCUAAAUACUCCUGACUGACCGAUAGUGAACCAGUACCGUGAGGGAAAGGCGAAAAGAACCCCGGCGAGGGGAGUGAAAAAGAACCUGAAACCGUGUACGUACAAGCAGUGGGAGCCUCUUAAUGGGGUGACUGCGUACCUUUUGUAUAAUGGGUCAGCGACUUAUAUUCUGUAGCAAGGUUAACCGAAUAGGGGAGCCGAAGGGAAACCGAGUCUUAACUGGGCGUUAAGUUGCAGGGUAUAGACCCGAAACCCGGUGAUCUAGCCAUGGGCAGGUUGAAGGUUGGGUAACACUAACUGGAGGACCGAACCGACUAAUGUUGAAAAAUUAGCGGAUGACUUGUGGCUGGGGGUGAAAGGCCAAUCAAACCGGGAGAUAGCUGGUUCUCCCCGAAAGCUAUUUAGGUAGCGCCUCGUGAAUUCAUCUCCGGGGGUAGAGCACUGUUUCGGCAAGGGGGUCAUCCCGACUUACCAACCCGAUGCAAACUGCGAAUACCGGAGAAUGUUAUCACGGGAGACACACGGCGGGUGCUAACGUCCGUCGUGAAGAGGGAAACAACCCAGACCGCCAGCUAAGGUCCCAAAGUCAUGGUUAAGUGGGAAACGAUGUGGGAAGGCCCAGACAGCCAGGAUGUUGGCUUAGAAGCAGCCAUCAUUUAAAGAAAGCGUAAUAGCUCACUGGUCGAGUCGGCCUGCGCGGAAGAUGUAACGGGGCUAAACCAUGCACCGAAGCUGCGGCAGCGACGCUUAUGCGUUGUUGGGUAGGGGAGCGUUCUGUAAGCCUGUGAAGGUGGCCUGUGAGGG